GGGGCUGUAGCUCAGUUGGUAGAGCGCUUGCAUGGCAUGCAAGAGGUCCGGAGUUCAAUUCUCCGUAGCUCCACAA
This 76-nucleotide transfer RNA is filed under the name Kitasatospora sp. Root107. RNAcentral describes it as "tRNA-Ala". It matches the Rfam family "tRNA". Rfam says of the family: Transfer RNA (tRNA) molecules are approximately 80 nucleotides in length. Their secondary structure includes four short double-helical elements and three loops (D, anti-codon, and T loops). Further hydrogen bonds mediate the characteristic L-shaped molecular structure. tRNAs have two regions of fundamental functional importance: the anti-codon, which is responsible for specific mRNA codon recognition, and the 3' end, to which the tRNAs corresponding amino acid is attached (by aminoacyl-tRNA synthetases). tRNAs cope with the degeneracy of the genetic code in two manners: having more than one tRNA (with a specific anti-codon) for a particular amino acid; and 'wobble' base-pairing, i.e. permitting non-standard base-pairing at the 3rd anti-codon position. Lineage: Bacteria; Bacillati; Actinomycetota; Actinomycetes; Kitasatosporales; Streptomycetaceae. The record is from RNAcentral.